RNAcentral lists this ribosomal RNA (499 nucleotides) under uncultured bacterium. RNAcentral describes it as "bacterial SSU rRNA". It matches the Rfam family "Bacterial small subunit ribosomal RNA", at positions 8 to 526 of the family's 1533-position model. The record is from RNAcentral.
AGAGUUUGAUCAUGGCUCAGGAUGAACGCUGGCGGCGUGCUUAAUACGUGCAAGUCGAACGGGGAAUGUAGCAAUACGUUCCUAGUGGCGAAUGGGUGCGUAACACGUGGGUGACCUACCCCGAAGUGUGGAAUAACAGAUCGAAAGAUCUGCUAAUACCGCAUGUGGUCUUGGUGUUUAGAAAUCCAAGUCUAAAGCAGCAAUGCGCUUCGGGAGGGGCCUGCGGUCCAUCAGCUAGUUGGUAGGGUAAUGGCCUACCAAGGCGACGACGGAUAGGGGACCUGAGAGGGUGACCCCCCACACUGGCACUGACACACGGGCCGGACGCCUACGGGUGGCAGCAGUAAGGAAUAUUGCCCAAUGGACGAAAGUCUGAGGCAGCAACGCCGCGUGCGCGAUGAAGGCCUUCGGGUCGUAAAGCGCUUUUCGGGGAGAUGAGGAAGGACAGUAUCCCCGGAAUAAGGUACGGCUAACUACGUGCCAGCCGCCGCGGUAAUAC